This 491-nucleotide ribosomal RNA is filed under the name uncultured bacterium. RNAcentral's name for it is "partial 16S ribosomal RNA". It matches the Rfam family "Bacterial small subunit ribosomal RNA", at positions 29 to 507 of the family's 1533-position model. The record is from RNAcentral.
AGUGAACGCUGGCGGUAGGCCUAACACAUGCAAGUCGAACGGCAGCACAGUAAGAGCUUGCUCUUACGGGUGGCGAGUGGCGGACGGGUGAGGAAUACAUCGGAAUCUACUUUUUCGUGGGGGAUAACGUAGGGAAACUUACGCUAAUACCGCAUACGACCUACGGGUGAAAGCAGGGGAUCUUCGGACCUUGCGCGAUUGAAUGAGCCGAUGUCGGAUUAGCUAGUUGGCGGGGUAAAGGCCCACCAAGGCGACGAUCCGUAGCUGGUCUGAGAGGAUGAUCAGCCACACUGGAACUGAGACACGGUCCAGACUCCUACGGGAGGCAGCAGUGGGGAAUAUGGACAAUGGGCGCAAGCCUGAUCCAGCCAUACCGCGUGGGUGAAGAAGGCCUUCGGGUUGUAAAGCCCUUUUGUUGGGAAAGAAAAGCAGCAGGUUAAUACCCCGCUGUUCUGACGGUACCCAAAGAAUAAGCACCGGCUAACUUCGUG